AUUGAACGCUGGCGGCAGGCCUAACACAUGCAAGUCGAGCGGAUGAAGGGAGCUUUCUCCUGGAUUCAGCGGCGGACGGGUGAGUAAUGCCUAGGAAUCUGCCUGGUAGUGGGGGAUAACGUCCGGACACGGGCGCUAAUACCGCAUACGUCCUGAGGGUGAAAGUGGGGGAUCUUCGGACCUCACGCUAUCAGAUGAGCCUAGGUCGGAUUAGCUAGUUGGUAGGGUAAAGGCCUACCAAGGCGACGAUCCGUAACUGGUCUGAGAGGAUGAUCAGUCACACUGGAACUGAGACACGGUCAAGACUCCUACGGGAGGCAGCAGUGGGGAAUAUUGGACAAUGGGCGAAAGCCUGAUCCAGCCAUGCCGCGUGUGUGAAGAAGGUCUUCGGAUUGUAAAGCUCUUUAAGUUGGGAGGAAGGGCAGUAAGUUAAUACCUUGCUGUUUUGACGGUACCAACAGAAUAAGCACCGGCUAACUUCGUG
Molecule: ribosomal RNA, 484 nt
Filed under: uncultured bacterium
Lineage: Bacteria
Description: partial 16S ribosomal RNA
Rfam family: Bacterial small subunit ribosomal RNA
Source: RNAcentral